This 336-nucleotide ribosomal RNA is filed under the name uncultured archaeon. RNAcentral's name for it is "bacterial SSU rRNA". It matches the Rfam family "Archaeal small subunit ribosomal RNA", at positions 566 to 901 of the family's 1478-position model. The record is from RNAcentral.
AGAGGCGUCUAAGAGAUACUGGGAGUCUAGGGACCGGGAGAGGUGAGAGGUACUCCCGGGGGUAGGAGUGAAAUCCUGUAAUCCCCGGGGGACCACCUGUGGCGAAGGCGUCUCACCAGAACGGCUCCGACAGUGAGGGACGAAAGCUGGGGGAGCGAACCGGAUUAGAUACCCGGGUAGUCCCAGCCGUAAACGAUGCGCGUUAGGUGUACUGGUGACCACGAGUCACCGGGGUGCCGAAGGGAAACCGUGAAACGUGCCGCCUGGGAAGUACGGUCGCAAGGCUGAAACUUAAAGGUAUUGGCGGGGGAGCACCACAACGGGUGGAGCUGCGGU